GGUCAAGUUAUUAAGGGUGCAGGGCGGAUGCCUUGGCACUAGGAGCCGAUGAAGGACGUGAUAAGCUGCGAUAAGCUUCGGGGAGUUGCACGUAAACUUUGAUCCGAAGAUUUCCGAAUGAGGAAACUCACUUAGAGUAAUGUCUAAGUAUCAUUAAGUGAAUA
RNAcentral lists this ribosomal RNA (164 nucleotides) under Clostridioides difficile. Its description in RNAcentral is "partial 23S ribosomal RNA". It matches the Rfam family "Bacterial large subunit ribosomal RNA", at positions 1 to 164 of the family's 2925-position model. Lineage: Bacteria; Bacillati; Bacillota; Clostridia; Peptostreptococcales; Peptostreptococcaceae. The record is from RNAcentral.